This 546-nucleotide ribosomal RNA is filed under the name Triticum aestivum (bread wheat). RNAcentral's name for it is "partial small subunit ribosomal RNA". The record is from RNAcentral. Lineage: Eukaryota; Viridiplantae; Streptophyta; Magnoliopsida; Poales; Poaceae.
AUGAAAUUUAAAAAUUCGGAUGAAGCUUGGGCAUUUUGGCUUAGCUGUGGUGGUCAAAAGGGCUUUGAGGUCCGAAAAAGGUAUACGAACAAAAGGUCCGCAGAUGGCAAGGCGUGCAGCGCGUAUGCCGAGGUGUUCAUCACGAGCGACGACUCGAGGAGGCCGACGAACAGGACGCCUUGGACCGGCAUGGCGGGGGGAGGCCAUGUAGCACGCGUUGCUCUGGUUGCCCUGUAUCCUGGAUGCCGUCGACCACGGGGGCUCCGGCUGCACGUGUUUCCCGGCCGCCUCCGACCAGUGGGGCUCUCGCGAUGUGUUGCUUUGUAUCCCGGCCACCGCGGACAGCGAAGGCUCCCUCUACACGUGUUGCUUCGUUUCCCGGCCGCCGCUGACCACUCCGGCUCCGGCUUCACUUGUUGCUCUACCUCCAUUGCUCCUUUGGCGACGGCGAGGACGUGCCGAGAUCUCAUUCUACCACGACGUAGAACUGGAUUUUUAAAUUUGAGAGGGAGAACGGGAAUUCUAGGGGAACGAGGAGAUUAUUGA